RNAcentral lists this long non-coding RNA (542 nucleotides) under Sorghum bicolor (sorghum). RNAcentral describes it as "long non-coding RNA (SBIC_LNC005605)". Lineage: Eukaryota; Viridiplantae; Streptophyta; Magnoliopsida; Poales; Poaceae. The record is from RNAcentral.
AGCAUUUAGCUGGUUUAUAGCCCACUAUAAUACUUGCUCUAAACCUGUGUCCCCGAUAUACCCUAGAGAAUAAAAAUAUAUUUUAUAUAUAAUGAAAUGGCUAAACAAAAAAAAUAGAAGUACUUGAAAGUACCCAUGAUACUUUUCCUAUCAUUGUAAAAGAGCUCACUUCAUAAACCAGCUACCACAAUCUCAAAAGCUAAAUGAACCUUAGCUUCUAUUAGCCUCUAGAAGUUAGCAUGGAUCCAAACACAGCUCUAUUCACACUAACUUGUAGUAGAAUUUUGACAACUUCGGAUUCCAUAAUAUUUACUACUAGCGUUCUAAUCUUCUAUGUACAUUUUUUUCUAAUGCAUCUUUAUCUCUAUCUUCCUCCUUCUUGUUGCUUAUAUACUACUUUUUUUUUACUUCUCGUUAGCUAAGGUCUUGUUUAAUUCACCCCAAAAAUAAAAAAAAUCAAAAGUCCCUGUCGCAUCAAAUCUUACGGCACAUAUAUAAAGCAUUAAAUAUAGAUAAAAACAAAACUAAUUGCACAGUUUGCC